ACCAUUACAGUUCAAAUAACGUCCUACAUAGAGCUGGAAUGGUAGCAAACGUACCACAUUACAUGGAGACAAAAAAAAAAACUAAAUCAAGGCCUAUAGAAAUAUGAGCAAGAAAAUUGGCCUUCGUCACAAUUAAUUCUUAGUUCGUCACGACGAAAAUGUACUUCGUCACACGAAAUUCUUCAUACGACACCAUGGAAAAUUUCACGAAGUAAGAAAAACAUUGGAUCCCCGUGCUCCGUGUACGCACGCAUUAAUGAUUUACUCUACAAAAAUAACAUGAUUUAAAAAAAAAAAAACUCUAAGUAAGGAUAUGUAUUACAAUGUUUGCAUCAUACCUCUACAUAAUCCUCCAAAAAUUCGUGGCUAAUGUCAUGAUGUUAUAUAAGGGAUCUCAUUUGAGUUCGGGAUCUUGAAUGAGGCGACAAAACGUU
RNAcentral lists this long non-coding RNA (434 nucleotides) under Salvia miltiorrhiza (redroot sage). Its description in RNAcentral is "long non-coding RNA (SMIL_LNC004508)". The record is from RNAcentral. Lineage: Eukaryota; Viridiplantae; Streptophyta; Magnoliopsida; Lamiales; Lamiaceae.